RNAcentral lists this microRNA precursor (91 nucleotides) under Pelobates cultripes (western spadefoot toad). The record is from RNAcentral. Lineage: Eukaryota; Metazoa; Chordata; Amphibia; Anura; Pelobatidae.
CCUCCAGAUGUUGCUGACCUACAACUCCCAUAAAUCUCAGCCUAUUUAAUUCAUAGAAUCAUGGGAGUUGUAGUUCAGCAACACCUGAAGG